GUCUCUCCCUCUCCCCAUCCCUCCCUCUUUCUCCUUCUCUUCGUCUGUCAUGUGCGUGGGAUGCUCAUGCUUUGCACAGAGCAGCUGUAGCACGCCGAAUACAGGCUAGAGUGUUAGCGGCAAUUUUAAAGUCCCCCCCUCCCUUCCCUUCCGCUCCCCCACCCACCAAAUAAUACGGCUGGGAUAUUUGAAGGGAACAUACACCAUAUCACGGUACACUCGGACCCCGUUGUUCUUCACCGGGUUGGGACGGCUUCUGGUCUGAUUGUGACUCGCCAUUAGGAAUGCUGGAGAAAGGAAGCUGAGAGAGGAACUGCUUGCAGCAGGAAGUAGAGGUCAACACAAGAUUUCGGGGGUUUUGCUCUCUAAUGGACCCACAUGAGCAAAGUUAGCCCGUGUGUGUUGGAUAAAGGCAUAGAUGUUAGCAGUGGUCCAGAGGACACAGUAAACAGAAUAACAGCGGUUUGAAGGGAGCUCAGGCAACGUGAUCGUGGGCAAUAUCAAAUCCCAUGACCCAUUCUUUGCCCUGUGGUCGAUACCAAAGACAACAAGCACGGGGGAAACAGAGGUUACUGCUCACUAUUCAUCAUCACAACAAUGCACACACAAACAGUAACUACAACCAGGAAGUGAUUGCAAAAGAAACAUCUCCUCUAGCUACCAGAACCCGCACAUUAACACUAAUUACGUGCAAGGCAUCUUGCUGUUCACAUGCAACAUUUUUAUGCAAUCGUAGGCAGACAGAUAUUUUAAUGAUUAGUUUAAUGAAUGGUUCUCAUAAGAAUGAAAUUCUUUCUAAAUUAGCUGACAGCAAGAGCAAAUAUUCCUCAUAAUAUUCCAUAUAUAUAUCAUAUAUUCUUAGUUUGAUUCUUGCUGAUGCUGAAAAAAAGAAAAAAAAGAAAGAAGAAGCGCCGGUAUGGUGGCAUAUUAGCACCCUUAGGUCACAGUGCCCUGUGGCAUUACUGUUCUUAAUUACUCCCAGUACUCGUACGCAUUCGGUGGACUUCUCAGAAGAGCCAAUUAGAAGGUCAGGGCAAGUCACUUGGUAGGAGAAGUCACUGCAAAAGUCUGUAGAAGUCUUAAAUUUCACCCUCAUUCUCUUUCCCUCUCUCACACAACUUAGACAACACAAAAACAUUUACACUGUAAAUCUUCCUUUAGUCAUAUCUGUCGACCAUUAAAACAAGGACUAAUAAAAAAUAAAGGAUGUCUGCUACACAGUAUUGUUUGUUUAUAUUCCAUCACCUCAUUUGUUAUGCUAUAGUCAUAAUCAUCUAUCAGUCAUGCAGAUUUAAAGUACAGCUGCUUACUAUUAGGGUGCCAGCGGGAGUAAGUAUUUAUAAUGUGCCGCCUGCAUUCAGCGAAACCCUCGAGUCUUUGCAGGCCGGCUUCUGUAUCAUCAGUGCUAUCCCAC
This is a long non-coding RNA of Astatotilapia calliptera (eastern happy), 1414 nucleotides long. NCBI's taxonomy places the organism in Eukaryota, Metazoa, Chordata, Actinopteri, Cichliformes, Cichlidae. The record is from Ensembl.